This 540-nucleotide ribosomal RNA is filed under the name Bifidobacterium adolescentis. Its description in RNAcentral is "bacterial SSU rRNA". It matches the Rfam family "Bacterial small subunit ribosomal RNA", at positions 160 to 711 of the family's 1533-position model. Lineage: Bacteria; Bacillati; Actinomycetota; Actinomycetes; Bifidobacteriales; Bifidobacteriaceae. The record is from RNAcentral.
GUGGUAAUGCCGGAUGCUCCAGUUGGAUGCAUGUCCUUCUGGGAAAGAUUCAUCGGUAUGGGAUGGGGUCGCGUCCUAUCAGCUUGAUGGCGGGGUAACGGCCCACCAUGGCUUCGACGGGUAGCCGGCCUGAGAGGGCGACCGGCCACAUUGGGACUGAGAUACGGCCCAGACUCCUACGGGAGGCAGCAGUGGGGAAUAUUGCACAAUGGGCGCAAGCCUGAUGCAGCGACGCCGCGUGCGGGAUGACGGCCUUCGGGUUGUAAACCGCUUUUGAUUGGGAGCAAGCCCUUCGGGGUGAGUGUACCUUUCGAAUAAGCACCGGCUAACUACGUGCCAGCAGCCGCGGUAAUACGUAGGGUGCAAGCGUUAUCCGGAAUUAUUGGGCGUAAAGGGCUCGUAGGCGGUUCGUCGCGUCCGGUGUGAAAGUCCAUCGCUUAACGGUGGAUCCGCGCCGGGUACGGGCGGGCUUGAGUGCGGUAGGGGAGACUGGAAUUCCCGGUGUAACGGUGGAAUGUGUAGAUAUCGGGAAGAACACCA